ACGCCUGAUGGAUGAAAAAUGGGGAAGAUAUGUGGACAAGUCUGUUGGGCUGAAUAUCGACCUCGGAUUCGGGCCAGGCCCAGAUCCGGGUCGAUCCAAAGAUUUACCCAAAUUUGAUUCGAAAAAUAAAUGAGCUUUAUAAUUAAGCCCACACUCGAUCGGAAUUAUUUCGGAUCCGAAAUCAGACCGGCCCAAGGCCUAUCGGACCGGUUCGAGCCCAGUUCCAACCCUAUUCCCCUAUAAAUAAACCCCGCUCCCAGGAUCGUCCAUUAGAGCACCGUCUCUGUACUCUUCCUUCUCGGCCACGGCCGCCGCCGCGGUCGCGGCGAAGGCGGCACCUCUCCUCUCCGGCGUCUUUGAUCGACGAAAACGUCGUCUCCGCUUUUCCGGUGGCUCUGAUCGGUGAGAUAGCUCCGUUCUUGGCCAGCCCAUCCUCUAGUCUCCAUCUUUCGUUAACUCCCUUGGUUCCUCUUCCUCCAAUGUGAUGCCUGCGGUCACUUUAAGUCCUAUAAGUCAUUGAUGUUGCCAUCUUACAGAAUCAUAUGAGCUUUGUGAGGAAAAAGGUAUCCUUAUUGAUGAAUUCUGAGAUGUUACGAGCCUAUGCAAGAUCAUCUGAGCACCAUAUUGGGGAUGAAUAGUAACUACAGUGUAAGGCGCAUGGGCGUAUGAUGGUGAAGGCUCGAAUGAGAAAUUCUGAAGAAUUAUGGCCAAAGCCAUCUUAGCUUCCAUCAUGGCAAAGCUCUGCCCAACACAAAUUCGGGGACCCCAACCAAACGGAAGGAAGGCCCCUUGAAUCUUUGAUGCCUUUGAAACUCCACUAGCAAACCUCUCUGGAUUGAAUUCACUGGCAUCUUCUCCCCAAAAUGCUGGAUCGUGGUGUAUCAAGAGUAUAGGCAGAUAGAGUUGCACUCCUGGGGGAAAGGAGAAAUCUCCCAGUUUCAUUUUCUUGUAGGUUUCCCGUACGACAGCAGACAGUGGUGGAUACAAUCUAAGAACCUCAUACAAAAUCAUAGUCGCCUGCAAUAAAAAUUUGAAAGAUUCAGGGA
Long non-coding RNA from Elaeis guineensis (African oil palm), 1046 nucleotides. RefSeq lists it as uncharacterized. The record is from RefSeq and is a predicted model, not a curated record. NCBI's taxonomy places the organism in Eukaryota, Viridiplantae, Streptophyta, Magnoliopsida, Arecales, Arecaceae.